This 485-nucleotide ribosomal RNA is filed under the name uncultured bacterium. RNAcentral describes it as "partial 16S ribosomal RNA". It matches the Rfam family "Bacterial small subunit ribosomal RNA", at positions 28 to 523 of the family's 1533-position model. The record is from RNAcentral.
GAUGAACGCUGGCGGCGUGCCUAAUACAUGCAAGUCGAGCGAAUGGAUUAAGAGCUUGCUCUUAUGAAGUUAGCGGCGGACGGGUGAGUAACGCGUGAGCAACCUGCCUUUCACAGGGGGAUAAGACGGCGAAAGCCGUUCUAAUACCGCAUGAGACCACAGAGAUGAUAUUUCAGGGGUCAAAGGAGCAAUCCGGUGAAAGAUGGGCUCGCGUCCGAUUAGGUAGUUGGUGAGGUAACGGCCCACCAAGCCAAUGAUCGGUAGCCGGCCUGAGAGGGUGAACGGCCACAUUGGAACUGAGAGACGGUCCAAACUCCUACGGGAGGCAGCAGUGGGGAAUAUUGGGCAAUGGGGGAAACCCUGACCCAGCAACGCCGCGUGAGGGAAGAAGGUUUUCGGAUUGUAAACCUCUGUUCUUGGAGAAGAGAAGAAGACGGUAUCCAAGGAGGAAGCCCCGGCUAACUACGUGCCAGCCGCCGCCGUAA